AAACUACAAGGGGAGCCGAAGCUCCCCCAGAAGUAGUUGCGUGCUCUUUUUUUAUUAUUGAUUGCGGGCUUCUUGUUUUUGUUGAUCGCCCUCGCCAUGAAUUUUUACCUUCAUGACACUCCCAAUCGGGAGUCAAGAGCAAACGGAUUGCUUUGGUCGCUGUGUUGCUGAUCUAUGAUCCAACCAGUUCAGGCUCUGCCUUAGGGCAGUU
Molecule: unclassified non-coding RNA, 211 nt
Filed under: Pseudomonas fluorescens
Lineage: Bacteria; Pseudomonadati; Pseudomonadota; Gammaproteobacteria; Pseudomonadales; Pseudomonadaceae
Description: Pseudomonas sRNA P29
Source: RNAcentral